This 218-nucleotide long non-coding RNA is filed under the name Elaeis guineensis (African oil palm). RNAcentral's name for it is "long non-coding RNA (EGUI_LNC079390)". Lineage: Eukaryota; Viridiplantae; Streptophyta; Magnoliopsida; Arecales; Arecaceae. The record is from RNAcentral.
GGCCCGAGUGGCCCCAAGCGAACCUGCAGCCAUCAACGGAAUGACAAUUGGGUAUCUUCGAACGACGUAAAGGCCAAAAAGGAGCUCGACAAAUGACAACCCUACAUGGAUAGAAGAGGUCGCCGAUGACCUCGGGACAACAUGGAAAAGAAAAGAAGAAGAGAAGGAAGAAAGAGGAAAGGAAAGUGAAGAAGUUCGACAGACAACUAUUUAAUGCG